RNAcentral lists this ribosomal RNA (254 nucleotides) under uncultured bacterium. RNAcentral's name for it is "partial 16S ribosomal RNA". It matches the Rfam family "Bacterial small subunit ribosomal RNA", at positions 524 to 776 of the family's 1533-position model. The record is from RNAcentral.
UACGGGGGGAGCAAGCGUUGUUCGGAUUUACUGGGCGUAAAGGGCGCGUAGGCGGUCAGCACAAGUCAGUUGUGAAAUCUCCGAGCUUAACUCGGAAAGGUCAACUGAUACUGUGCGACUAGAGUGCAGAAGGGGCAACUGGAAUUCUUGGUGUAGCGGUGAAAUGCGUAGAUAUCAAGAGGAACACCUGCGGCGAAGGCGGGUUGCUGGGCUGACACUGACGCUGAUGUGCGAAAGCUAGGGGAGCGAACGGG